This 478-nucleotide ribosomal RNA is filed under the name uncultured bacterium. RNAcentral's name for it is "partial 16S ribosomal RNA". It matches the Rfam family "Bacterial small subunit ribosomal RNA", at positions 28 to 523 of the family's 1533-position model. The record is from RNAcentral.
GACGAACGCUGGCGGCGUGCUUAACACAUGCAAGUCGAGCGAUGAAGCUCCUUCGGGAGUGGAUUAGCGGCGGACGGGUGAGUAACACGUGGGUAACCUGCCUCAUAGAGGGGAAUAGCCUUCCGAAAGGAAGAUUAAUACCGCAUAAGAUUGUAGUACCGCAUGGUACAGCGAUUAAAGGAGUAAUCCGCUAUGAGAUGGACCCGCGUCGCAUUAGCUAGUUGGUGAGGUAACGGCUCACCAAGGCGACGAUGCGUAGCCGACCUGAGAGGGUGAUCGGCCACAUUGGGACUGAGACACGGCCCAGACUCCUACGGGAGGCAGCAGUGGGGAAUAUUGCACAAUGGGGGAAACCCUGAUGCAGCAACGCCGCGUGAGUGAUGACGGUCUUCGGAUUGUAAAACUCCGUCUUCAGGGACGAUAAUGACGGUACCUGAGGAGGAAGCCACGGCUAACUACGUGCCAGCCGCCGCCGUAA